Molecule: ribosomal RNA, 482 nt
Filed under: uncultured bacterium
Lineage: Bacteria
Description: partial 16S ribosomal RNA
Rfam family: Bacterial small subunit ribosomal RNA
Source: RNAcentral
GACGAACGCUGGCGGCGUGCUUAACACAUGCAAGUCGAACGCUGAAGCUCAGCUUUUGUUGGGUGGAUGAGUGGCGAACGGGUGAGUAACACGUGAGUAACCUGCCUCCUUCUUUGGGAUAACGCCCGGAAACGGGUGCUAAUACUGGAUAUUCACUGGUCUUCGCAUGGGGGUUGGUGGAAAGGGUUUUUCUGGUGGGGGAGGGGCUCGCGGCCUAUCAGCUUGUUGGUGGGGUGAUGGCCUACCAAGGCUUUGACGGGUAGCCGGCCUGAGAGGGUGACCGGUCACAUUGGGACUGAGAUACGGCCCAGACUCCUACGGGAGGCAGCAGUGGGGAAUAUUGCACAAUGGGCGCAAGCCUGAUGCAGCGACGCCGCGUGAGGGAUGGAGGCCUUCGGGUUGUGAACCUCUUUCGCUCAUGGUCAAGCCGCAACAAUGGUUGUGGUGAGGGUAGUGGGUAAAGAAGCGCCGGCUAACUACGU